RNAcentral lists this ribosomal RNA (563 nucleotides) under uncultured bacterium. RNAcentral's name for it is "partial 16S ribosomal RNA". It matches the Rfam family "Bacterial small subunit ribosomal RNA", at positions 355 to 910 of the family's 1533-position model. The record is from RNAcentral.
UGGGGAAUUUUGGACAAUGGGCGAAAGCCUGAUCCAGCAAUGCCGCGUGUGUGAAGAAGGCCUUCGGGUUGUAAAGCACUUUUGUCCGGAAAGAAAUCCUUGGCUCUAAUACAGUCGGGGGAUGACGGUACCGGAAGAAUAAGCACCGGCUAACUACGUGCCAGCAGCCGCGGUAAUACGUAGGGUGCAAGCGUUAAUCGGAAUUACUGGGCGUAAAGCGUGCGCAGGCGGUUUGCUAAGACCGAUGUGAAAUCCCCGGGCUCAACCUGGGAACUGCAUUGGUGACUGGCAGGCUAGAGUAUGGCAGAGGGGGGUAGAAUUCCACGUGUAGCAGUGAAAUGCGUAGAGAUGUGGAGGAAUACCGAUGGCGAAGGCAGCCCCCUGGCAAGUACUGACGCUCAUGCACGAAAGCGUGGGGAGCAAACNGGAUUAAUNCCCUGGUAGUCCACGCCCCUAAANGAUGUCAACUAGUUGUUGGGGGAUUCAUUUUCCUUAGUAACGUAGCUAACGCGUGAAGUUGACCGCCUGGGGAGUACGGUCGCAAGAUUAAAACUCAAAGAAUU